This 431-nucleotide long non-coding RNA is filed under the name Capra hircus (goat). RNAcentral describes it as "lncRNA (ENSCHIG00000000817.1)". Lineage: Eukaryota; Metazoa; Chordata; Mammalia; Artiodactyla; Bovidae. The record is from RNAcentral.
GCACCAAGUGCCAGUUAGUGAGCUGAGAGGUUCACAUAAGGUACAAGUGGAAGGCUCACCUUCAAAUUUGAGAGUUUGAAAAUGGGAAACCUGAACUGCUGUUCUGGAGUGCAUUUCCCAGGAUGUUUUGCCCAGAAGACCAGAAGAAACAUUCCUCAGAGAUCAAGAACAUCCACUACCAGCUGGGUCAGGAGGUUUCGUAGUUGGCCACGAAACAGGCUGCACCCUACAACUGACACAGUUGAAGAGCUCCCUGAGGACCAGCUGGAGGAGCUAUCCAAUUCAAAGUUGGAGGAAGAGGCUUUGCCCACCUCUGUGGUAAGUGCUCCUUAUUUAUCUGAGAUAAAAGUGUUGCUUUAUGACUUUACUUUUUUGCUGAAUUCAGAUAAAGUUUCAAAAUAUUCAAGACAGCUGAUAUGGUUUUUAAUUUG